CACUCUCUCAUGAGAGCCGGCUCUCCUCUGUCCUCCUCUUCCCUUAAAAAUACUCCAAUCCAACCUCCUCCUCCUCCAAUUCCUCUCUUCGUGGGUUUUAUCUUUCCCUAGUACCCAUCAAGAAUCACAGUGAGAGAACCUGUAGAGUAAAACAGAGACUUCAAGAGAAUCCAUUCCGAGCAUAUCGAGAUUACCUGUACAGUAAUAGCCAGGUAGGUCACUUGGCUCUCUGGAAGAGAAAUGGACAGGCUUAUUGGUUUGGACCCAUCGAAUCUUGUAUCUAUCAGAAUUGAACCUCGACAGAAAUGCUAUGCUGAACUCACUCUCCCCAAUGUUAUGUGCACUAUGCCGGUGGCCUUCAGGAUCCAGGCCUUGAACAAGACUCGGUACACGAUCAAGCCACAGUUAGGAUUCAUAUCUCCUCUGGCGAUACUAACUAUAGAGAUCACAUAUCAUCUCUCUCCGGGUUCUCUUCUUCCAGAGACGUUUCCUCACUGUGAGGACUCGUUUCUUUUGCUUAGCGUGGUGGUUCCUGGCGCGGCAAUUAAAGAUGCUACAUCAAGUAUGGAUGCAGUUCCUAUUGACUGGUUCACAACCAGGAAAAAACAGGUGUUCAUAGAUAGUGGAAUCAAAGUCAUGUUUGUUGGGUCGCCAAUUCUUGCUCAGCUGGUUACAGAUGGCUUAAUGGAUGAGUUUCAAAGCCGAUCAGGGUAAAGUCCACUUGAGGCGGCUGCAAGAUCUGGUGAGGCUUUGAUUGUUGAGCUUUUAUUAGCUCGUCGAGCCAGCUCAGAAAGAUCACAGUCCUCAACUUGGGGUCCAAUCCUGCAGCUGGAGGGGGGCAUUUGGAGGUGGCGGUAAAUUAAAGCAGUACGGACAUGUUUGUUUUCUGGAAAAUAAUUUUUGGAAAAUAAUUUUUUAAAUUUUUUUGUGUUUGUUUGCCAAUAGAAAAGUUGAUCAAUGGAAAACACUUUCCAGUAAAAAGAAAAUUUGGUUUGGUUUUCAGGAAAGUGUUUUCCUGAAAAAUUUGGGGGGAAACCACUUUCUGGAAGUUGUGAAAAAUUUAAAAAUGUCAUUAUUUGUUGAUUAUAUUAAAUUUAAUCCUCAAACUUUUGAUUGGUAUAUAUAUUUUGUUUUGAAUAUUUAUUUUUCAAUUUCAUUUCUUAAAAUUUUAUUUUUAUAUUAACUUUGGUCCUUAUUUUUAUAAUUGCUAUUUGCUUUUUCCUUAUCAUAUUUUGAUUAAAAAAAUUUAUCUAUCAAAUUUGGUCCUCAUUCUUUUGAUUGUUACUUAUUUUAUUUGAAAUAAUUUAUGAAAUGUUGAUUAUUAUUAUUUUAAUUUCUUCAUCUUUUAUUUUUAGAAAAAAAAUUUAGAUUUGAUUUCUAUUAUUUUAAUUAUUAUUUAUUUUAUUUGAGAUAAUUUAUGAAAUUAUAUUUUUUUUCAAUUUCAUUCUCAUUUAAUUUUUUAAUUUGUAAAAUUUAUUCUUCAUUAUUUUAAUAAGUUAUGUAUGAAUAUAGGAUAUAAUAAAAAAAAUUCAUCAUUAUAAAUACUUUUUAGAUUUUAUUUUUUUUAAUUGUAAGUGAUUAAAUAUUUUAUAUAUAUUAGAUAAACUUGAAAAAAAAAUUAAUUCAUUAAUAAAUUAUUUUCCAGUUCAUUUUCCAUAACACAACCAAACACUGGAAAGUAUUUUUCAAUUCAUUUUUCAUAACACUGUCAAAUAUCGGAAAAUACUUUCCUGAAAUUUAUUUUUUUCAAAAUUUACUUUCCUAAAAAAAAAGACUUUCCCGCAGAUAAAUUAACCUAAUUCAUGCCCAGAAGAUAGAAGGAAAGAGGAAUAAAGAUAGGAUAGAGAUGGGCCCCUUUUCCUGGUCCCACAACAUUGUAGAUAUUUCUUCAUCAUCCAUAUCUGAUCUCCUCAAUUCAACAUCAUGGUUCCGUGGUUGUUUUUUUUUUUUUUUAAGUGACUUUUGUUUCGAAAUAUCUGGAGUUAAUAUUUUUUUUAAUUUUAUUAUAUUAAAAUAAUAUGAGAACAUGAAAAAAAAUUUAUUUAAAAAAUUAAAAAGAUUUUAUUUUUUUAAAAUAAAAAAAUAAUGAGGCUAUCAAACUUGUGAUCAUCCAUGUAACUUUCAUGGCAGUGGAGUUCUUCCUUUUGCUCAAUUUAAAAAAAAUAAUAAUUAAAAUCCAUGGCACGCCUUUAGUUGUUGGCAGAGGGUAAUCCUAUGGUUAGAAAAAAAUAUAUCUUUAUACUAGUUUGGAUAUUUUACAUGCUUUCUUGUUAAAAUAUGUUUGGGUAUUACAAUAGUUUUUGUUUUUGUCCAAUAACAUAGAAAAAUCUGUAUGAUUAUUUAAAUAAUUUAUGCUUUUCACACCUGGAUUAUAUAUAAUUAUUUUUUAAAUUUUAAUUUUGUAAAAAUUAAAAUAAUAUUUUUUUAUUUAUAAAGAUCUUUCUUUUAUUCAUAAAAAACUGUUUUUAUUUAUUGUACAUGAAAGAAAAAAUUUAUGUUAUUAUAAUUUUAAUAAAACACUAUCUUUUUAAAUUAUAACUAAAAAUAUUUUUAAAAAACUAAAUGCUAUCUUAUGAUAAUACGUUUGGCACUAUGUUUGAAAAGUUUUUUCAAAAAAAAUUAAAUUAUUUUUUAUUUUAAAUUAAUAUAUUUUUGAUAUUUUUAAAUUAUUUUAAUAUAUUGAUUUCAAAAAUAAUUUUUAAAAAAUAAAAAAAUAUUAUUAAUAUACAUUUUUAAAUAAAAAAUAUUUUUAAAAUACAAUCUCUUAUCCCAAACCCCAUCCACUACUUAGGACAAGAGAUCAACAUUACUUAAAUCCCAUCAAUCCAUAUCUUCCCACAGGAGAAAAUGACCAUGGCGGAGACCACAAGUGCCUCCUGCAACCUUUCUUCUUUAAAAUAUUUGGUUAAUUAACAUUUUAAUUAAAAUGAAUUUGCUUCCUUCCCUCGUAUGGUGCCCUAAAGAGGGACCUAACAACUUUCAACAUCACCUUGAGCCUUUGAGAUUAGAUCAAAGGCCUUUCUAAAGGAAAUGAUACGUUGAAGUUUAUUACAUUUGUCAUGAACACUGUGUGUACGCGUACAUGGACAUUUUUGUGAUUUCCAAUGAUACCAUUAGUUUUAUCUUCUUUUUUCUGUCUGCUUCCAUUUCCUUCGCUCCACUUCUGAGCGGCUGAGCCUAUAAAUAUGGCACUUGUUUCCUUCAUCACUUCAUAUCGAAAACCAUUUCAAAGAGAGAAAAAAGAAGAAAGAAAUACACAAUAUAUAUGGCAGGAAUCAUGCACAAGGUUGAGGACACUCUGAACACUGGAGGCAAGAAAGAUGAGCGCAAGGGUGAGACACAAGGUGGGUACAACCAACAAGAUCACAGGGGAGGCGCACAAGGUGAGCGCAAGGAAGGGUUUGUUGGCCAGAUGAAGGACAAGAUCCCGGGCGGUGGCGGUGGCGUGCACCAGGGUGGCGGUGUCGGUGGCAUGCGCCAGGGCGACACACAAGGUGGGUACAACCAACAAGAGCACAGGGGCGGCGCACAAGGUGAGCGUGGGUUUGGGGACCAGAUCAAGGACAAGUUGCCGGGCGGUGGCGGUGGGGUGCGCAAGGGCGAGACGCAAGGUGGGUACAAUCAACAAGAGCACAGGGGCGACGCACAAGGUGAGCGCAAGGAAGGGUUUAUUGACAAGAUCAAGGGCAAGAUCCCGGGGGCUGGCGGUGGCAGUGGCAUCCGUGGUGAAGGUGGAGAGAAAAAGAAGUAGGACAAGAAGAAGAAUGAUGGUGGCCAUAGCAGCAGCGACAGCGACUAAGUAUCUUGCACUGCUUCCAUGCAUUAGGUAUAUACACACAUAUUUGCUCUCUACUAGCAUGGUUUUGUGUCAUUUUUUUUCCGUCAAUUCUUUUCCCAUUAUUUUUUCUGUCUUUGUUGCCUCUAGAUCAUAAACUAAUCAUAUAUACGUACGACUUAUUGCAUUCUCUGCUUCUUACAUUAUGUCAAAGUCAAGCUCAAAAAUGGUGAAUCGUUUGUUACACGUCCUGUUCUUCCAUAAUUUUGAUUUCUAACGUAUCCUUCGUCUUUGCAGGUGUGGAGGAGGUCGAGGUCCUGUCUACCAGUGUUGCAUGUUAUUAUCACUAGAAAAUAAAAAGAAAAAAGCUGUACUUUUCAAUAUUUUGUAUCUUUGCUUUAAGUGGUGUUGCUAGGCAGGGAAGAAUGUAAACCGAAAAAUAUUAUAAUAAGAUAAUAAUUAUUAUUAACAUUAUGUUUUAUGUGGGUGAUUUUAAUUUGUUCAUGAAAGAAAUUGUUAUUAACAUAUGAAGUAUUCCUUCCAUGUCACAGAAGCUCUCACCAUAUAGGAGCUACACACAUGUACACUCCAAGAUAUGUUCUUCCUUAAAAUUGUUCUGCCAGCGACAAUGGAAUGAAACCCCCCAUGGAAGGGUUGUAAGAAAUUUAUGGAUUAUAUUAAAGAAAAUUCACCCAUCAUAACAAAGUUUGUCUGAAAUGUUUUGAGAUUUUAUUUACUAGAGAGGCGAAACACACGCACCCCGUUCUCUCAAAAAAAAAAAAAAAGGUGACACGGCAACUCCAUUCUUGUGCUCUAUGUCGAGUCAAUUUAUUAACGCAUGAAGGUUUUUUUUUAAGUGUGUUUUAUUUGAAAAAAAUUAAAAUAAUAUUUUUUAAUUUUAAUGAUUAAAAAAAGAUAUAAAAAUAUUAAAAAUAUAUAUUAAUUUAAAUUAAAAAAUAAAAAAUUUAAUUUUUUUAAAAAUAUUUUUAAAAUAUAAAAACAAACGAAGUUAAAAAAAUAAUAAUAUGCAUAUACAAUUAGAAAGUCCAAGGCGCUAGCCAUAUAAAUAUUUAUUUAUUAUUAUUUAUUUAUAAUUCUCAACGAAUAUUUAUUUGUAUAUUUCCAUGUUGAUAAUGAUCCUCCACUCAAUUAUAUUAUCCUUUCAAGGUUAAAUGGAAUAAUACUAUUAUAGCAAAUCUCAAGUGGCAUUAAUGUAUUAUUAUGAACAUAGUUUUGGCAUCCCAAAAACAUAAUCGAUUAUACAAAAUAUCUUCUAGGGACUAAAUGCUCUAGGGGUAUGAUAAACGAUUAUAAAUUUGCAAUAAUUUACAGUACAGGGACUAAAGUGGAACUUUUUUUUAAUCUAGAAACAUAAUAAAAUAAAAUAAAAUGUGCUUUUGAAAAGUUAAAAUAAACAGGAUCUUUUCCGGUCUACUUUUCUAUAUGAUCCCUGGAUUUAGAAAAGGGGAAAACUCUUUUAAUCAAAUUCUAAAAAAAGAAUUGAAUGAAUUAAAUCUUUUACCGUAAUUAAAUUUGUCUCAAGCAAAUAAAACAUUAAAAAAAAUCCUUUAGACACAUAGAAGCCGCAAGGAGAUCUCACUCGUACUGUGGACCGGACUACUCGUGGUAAAAAUAUACAAUAAAAUUAAUUUAUAAAUUCAGAACCCAGCUAUUUGUGGACCAGACCUAUUAGUUCUGGCUGGGCUGCUGCUUAAACUUCGAUCUGACCAUUGAAAAGGUUAAAGCUUACAGGUUUAGUGAGCACAUGUUUAAACAUUGUUUCAACAUUAGCAAUUGUGGACCGGACCUAUUAGCAAUUGAAACAUUUUUUUAUUUUAUAAAUUAGUUUGAGAUAUUAUAUGUUUUUAUUAAUAUAUAUAAUAUUUAUUAUAUUUAAAUAUCAAUUUUCUAAUUCACGAUUAUAUUUUUUACUUGGUGUCAGAAAAAACAUUAAUAAUAUCUAUACAUUAAUUCUUUUGUGUUAGAAAAAAUUAUUUAACCCACAAUAAAAAGAGUUGAAUAAACACUAUAACACUUUUUUAUUUUGUAUUUAUUAAGAUAGAUGAUUCUCAAUUUUUUUAUUUAGAUGCAUGCAUAGAUUUUUUUUAUUUUUAAUUAGUAUUAAAAAAAUACAUUUGAAAAGCUUAUAUAUUUAGUUGUUUUACAAAACAUUAUCCAACCCGUGGUGAAGGCAUGAGACAUAAUAAUUGUACCAUGCUUUUCGAUAUCCAUGAUAAAAUGUAUGGAAAAUAAUCAAUAAAAUCUAUAUGGUGAUUUUAUUUAUCUUUAAGAAUUGUCAUCCUAGUUGGUUUUUAGGAUCACAUGAAUUAAAAGCUAUAUUCAUAUAGUUGAUACUGAAAAUUUCAUAUAUAUAAAAUGCCUUGUAAGGUUCAAAUACAAGGUUUAUUUUUUUUAUUUAAAGCAUAGCUACUGCUUCGACGCUAACAUUAUUUUUUUGCUUAUGUUUUAUUAUUUCAAUUUUUUUAAAAAGGUUAAGUUGUAUAAAAUUCAAAUAAUAAAAUAAAAUAAGGCACAAGGCUAGUACAUCAAAAGUAGAAAAGAAAGCAAAACGCUAAUGAAAUAGAUGAUGUUGGUGACUAGGAAAAUGAUUCUCUCUCUUCUUUUUUUCAAGCCUCUUCGUAAAUUUAUAGUUUCUGGCAAUUUGUAGCCUUUUUUUCCCAUUGACUGCAUCAUGUUGAUUAGUUGUCGGUAUGAAGGCAUGACUAAUUUAAUUUCUUUCUUUUUCUUCCUAAUAAAAGCAAAAAAUAAAAAAUUACCAUCUUAUUAUAUUAUUUUUAAAUUUUCUUGUCGGUUUUAUUUACCUUUUAUUUUUUUAUUCUUGCUUUAAUUUUUAUUUGUUUGGCUAGUUUAUGAAUUUUAUUAUAAAUAAAAUAUUCAUGAUGUGUCUCGUAUUUAAAAAUUAAUGUUUUGUCAUAUAUGAGAAUAUAUUAAAAAGGGAGUUAAAAAUGAAAAGAAAACUUAACAAAUGUAAUUUUAACACUACAAAUUCCGUAAUAUUAAAAAAAGAUAAAAUGUGUAGGUCUCUAAAGCAAUAAUCUCAUAACUUUUAAAGGAUUGGCGUGGUCUUUUUAGUGUGACUCUCAUCCCCUUGCCAUUAGUCUUUUUAAACAUGGACUUAGACAAUAAAAUAAAAAAUAUAUUGAUUUAUCAAUACAAUAUGAUCAUAGAGAAAUAUUUGAUGAGAACCUCUUAAUUUCAUGGUCAAAUAAUCCCCAUUAAAGAUAAUAUUUCCUCAAGAAAGCUGGGAAUCAGGUUUGAGAAGUGUAACACUAUGAAAACCUGUCAUAAGACACUAAUACUAUUGAAAUUAAAACGAAUGACGCCACAAGGUCAGCCUUAAUAAGUCAUAUUUGAUCUUUGUCCCAGCAAAGAUAACGUGUUUCAUCACGCAAGACACAAGUUUAUUUUAUAAAUCCAUCGUGUUCUGCUUUUCAACAUACAGAAAACUUAUAUAAUGUUUCAAAUAACUCUAAUGGAUCCCAUGUGUGGGCUGAUUUGAGUCCCUUACAAAAUUGACUGAAACAAGUAAUAAUAAACCAAAGACUAAGAAGAAAAUAAUAAAAAUCUGAAGUAAUAUCCUAGAUAUGCUAAAAUCAGAUUUGUCACUCAUAAAAAGUUCCAAAUAGACUAGAAAAUUUGAUGUGAAUGUGGAAUUGAUUAUGAAGUCUUCUUAUCUUGUUGUGUUUAGUUUUAUUGUUUUACAUGGACAAUUACUAAAGAAAAUCUCCCACUUUUAUACUUGCCAAUUUAGUUUUCUUUCUAAAUUAGGAGAAUCAUUAAUUAAUUCUUUCUAGUUUAGAAAAUCAGAUCUGGCACACCCUCCUAGCAUCCUUUGUUGAUAAAUAUUCUCCUAAAUAAUAUGUAAAAUUAUGAACGAAGUUUUCUUGAAUUUUAGGAGAAUAUUUUGCUGAUUGAAGUUCUUAUAGAAAUUGGAAAAUCAAUCCCAAACAAAUAUGAUCCCAACAACUUAAUUAACCUAAGUCAACUUUGAACCCCAUGUGGCCUAAAUCCAUAUUCAUUAAUAGGGACCAAACCACACCCAAAAUACACUCCAAAUAAACUUUCUUUACUACUCAAAAACAUCUUAUGCAUAGCUUACCGGAUUUCCCACCAAAAAAAUUAAGCCGAACCCAUUAUCCAUAAGAACGUCAAUCUGACCGAAUACCUCUCUAGGUAAAGAUCCAUCAUGAAAAACCCAAGACUGAACCAUUUACUAAACCAUAUCAACAAUCAAUCUCGAAUACAUAACUGAAUGCUUACUAUAAAGAAUUCAAGGCUGAACCUAAACUAUAACAACAUUAGACUUUGUUGAAAAAAGAAAAGGAAAGUGAUGCUUUGACCAGAAAAUCAUUUAGUUGAUUCAGUAUAGGCUUUGCAAUGGUAAACUACAAUGUGAAGCUAUUGGAAUCUUCUUCCUCUCAAUCAGUUUCUGCUUUGUUGGUUAUCAUUUCUCAAGAUCUUUAUGUUAUUGUAAUGCUUUUGUAGUAGGGUGAGAGCUCCUGCUUAGUUCUUUCAAUAAAUGAAAAAGCAAUAGACAAAAUCUAGCUCAUUACUCCCUGCAUAUAUAAAUGCUUUCAUGAAUUUUUUCAAUUUAAUUUUUAUGAGGUUAUCCUAGUUUCAUGACCCGAACUAUGGAUUUAAUGAGUUAACUCUAUUGACUCCAUUUUUUCUCCUUUUCUAAUUGACUUUUUUCCCCUCAAAUUCAUCGUUCAAUGUUGAAUUGAUUGAGAAUUAAGCUUCGUGAUUUAUUUUACUUUGCUUUCUAUAAGGUUAUCAUCGUCUCAUGAAUCAGGUUACAAGUUUAGCAGGUUAACCUGGAUUAACUCGAGUUGUUUUUUAUGUCUUUUUUUAAUAUAAUCUUUCCACACUAGAUUGAUUAGGGAUUGGAAUUUAUAAUUUUUUUCAAUUUUUUUAUUAGGUUAUCUCAGUCUUGUGACCCAAGUUACAGAUUAACCCAAGUUGACUUGUGUUGUUUUUUUUUAGUAUUUUUUUAAUUACAAUUUUUUCAAUGACAUCAUUCAAUAUUGGGUUUAUUGAAAAUUAAGCUUCAUAAUUUGUUUUGGUUUCUUUUUUAUAGGGUUAUUAGGGUCUUAUGAUCAGGCAUGUGGAUUAACAGGUUAAUCCGAGUUGACUGGAAUCGAUCCAAUUUAUUGUCAUCUCAAUAUUUAUAAGAAAUAUCAUAUUGAAUAUUUAGUUUGAUUCAAAUUAUAUUUUUAUCAAUUGUCUGGGUUGUCUUUGGACCUGCCAAGUCUACUAAGUAAUAUCAGGUCAAUCCCCACAUGUUUUAAAAAAUGUAUUCUAGUAGAAAAAACAUUAGCAAUGCAUAGAUAUUUUUUUAGGCUAAAAAAAUUAAUCUCAAUGACAACAUAACACGGGUCACUAAUCUAGUAUUAUUAAACCUUGUAGAGGCUAACGAGUCACCAUAAUGACUUGCCAACCUGACCUCUAGGUUACGAUGGAUUUUAAAGUAAAUCAGGUGGGAUUUGACCUAGUGUCGCUUAACUAACCCAGUCGAUGCACCCAUAAUUCGGUUGACUCGUCCAAAACUUGAUUUAAUAUUUUUCAUUAAAAAAUCAAAUCAACGGCAUUCUGGUCUGAAUUAGGUUAAACAAUUAUAAAAAUAAAUAUUUACAUGAAAGACAACAAAUAAAAUUUUUGAGAAAAAAUAUAUUUUUUCAAUCAAAACUUCAUUUCCUUAUUUAUUCAUCUCCUUGUUAUUUUAAUGAAAGCAUGUUAUUUUAACUAUAAUCAUUGCUUUUUAAAUAAAAAUCUAUAAUGAUUUUGAAAAAAAGUUUUAAAAUAAAAAUGCUAAAAUAAUAUUUCAACAUUUUGCAUGUGGUUCAAGAAAAAAUUAAUAGAUUUUAUAAAAUCAUGUAAAAAACCUAUUAAAAAUAUUAAAGAAAAAAAUAUUAUUUUCAUUAAAUAUUCAAGAGCCUUUUUUUUUGGCCUAUUAAACACGUAAUAAUUGAAAAAAAAUAUUAACAUUCCAAUAAAAACCCAUAAUAUUAUUUGAAAACAAUGGAAAAAUUAAAUGAUAAUUUAAAUAUCAUGUUAAGCUCGACAUGUAUGUAUGGGUCUACAAAGCAUGUCCACAUGCUUAAUUUUCUUCUUCUACCUUUGUAUUGACGGUAAACAAUGCGUCGUUUUCUGGUUCGAAUUUUUGCCCUAACAGCAGCAAAAUUACAUUUAAGAUAUAACUUCAUCCCCUCCACACCAUAUGCUUACCACAGCGCAAUCAUUAGAACAUGUCUUAGAGCUUGAAUUAUACAAUAAUUACCAUAAAAGACCGACGACGAGUAGAUGACCAAUAAUAUACGUAAUCAACUUGGUUGGCCAAGUAUAUUAAAUGGCCUUCCUUCCUUCUACCACACGCAGAGGUGAAAAGCACCAUUAUUGUUUUGUUAAGGCCACAGGCAUCUUCAAAGAGCUCAUGUGCUCACCCCAGUUUAUAUAUUUUCCAUGAACAGUACCUUAUCUGCAAAGAUACCAUCUUGUAAUGAUUUAUUUUGGAGUAAGCAUCAUUGAAAGUGACUUGCAGAGAAUAAUUCCGAAUAAUUUCCUGUGUUUCUUUAAUUUCAUACAACUAUGCCUACGAUUUAUACAGUCAAGACAGGGAAUGGAACAAGUCUUCAUUGUUUUUAACACCACUAAUUGGCACUCUCCGAUUAGAGCCGGCUCUCCUCUGUCCUCCUCUUGCCUUAAAAAUACUCCAAUCCAACCUCCUCCUCCAAUUCCUCUAUUCAUGGGUUCAUCUUUCCCUAGUACCCAUCAAGAAUCACAGUGAAAGAACCUGUAGAGUAAAACAGAGACUUCAAGAGAAUCCAUUCCGAGCAUAUCGAGAUUACCUGUACAGUAAUAGCCAGGUAGGUCACUUGGCUCUCUGGAAGAGAAAUGGAGAGGCUUAUUGUUUUGGGGCCAUCGAAUCUUGUAUCUAUCAGAAUUGAACCUGGACAGAAAUGCUAUGGUGAACUCACUCUCCGCAAUGUUAUGUACACUAUGC
This 10796-nucleotide long non-coding RNA is filed under the name Populus tremula. RNAcentral's name for it is "long non-coding RNA (PTRE_LNC000840)". Lineage: Eukaryota; Viridiplantae; Streptophyta; Magnoliopsida; Malpighiales; Salicaceae. The record is from RNAcentral.